RNAcentral lists this long non-coding RNA (408 nucleotides) under Oncorhynchus kisutch (coho salmon). RNAcentral describes it as "lncRNA (ENSOKIG00005038708.1)". Lineage: Eukaryota; Metazoa; Chordata; Actinopteri; Salmoniformes; Salmonidae. The record is from RNAcentral.
UUUCAUAAAUCAAUUUGAUUGAUAGUGAACCACAUCAAGUUCCACUCUCUCUCGCUCUCUCUCUCUCUCUCGCUCUCUAGUGAACCAUGGGAAGUUUCCUAAGCAGGAGGACUCGUAUGUGUUCGAGGAGGACAGCAGCAGUGGCAGUCUGUCUCCAGAGCAACACCACAGUGAUGAGUCACAGGGGUCCGCAUGCCUAAGUGCAGCACCAGCCCUCAAUAGCCCUAAACCGGUUGCUCUGGAAUUCAUGAGACUGGUAUCUGUGGACCUCAAGAAGAUAUUCUUUCCAAGCUCCUUGAAUUCUACCGGGCCAAGAGCGAUGGAGGGAUGGAGCUAAAACAGCUUAUGAAGACAACUGAUUCUGAGGAAGUCACCCAUGGAGUGAAAAUACACUUGUCGUUGUGGAUG